GCUGACGAGUGGCGGACGGGUGAGUAAUGUCUGGGAAACUGCCUGAUGGAGGGGGAUAACUACUGGAAACGGUAGCUAAUACCGCAUAACGUCGCAAGACCAAAGAGGGGGACCUUCGGGCCUCUUGCCAUCGGAUGUGCCCAGAUGGGAUUAGCUUGUUGGUGGGGUAACGGCUCACCAAGGCGACGAUCCCUAGCUGGUCUGAGAGGAUGACCAGCCACACUGGAACUGAGACACGGUCCAGACUCCUACGGGAGGCAGCAGUGGGGAAUAUUGCACAAUGGGCGCAAGCCUGAUGCAGCCAUGCCGCGUGUAUGAAGAAGGCCUUCGGGUUGUAAAGUACUUUCAGCGGGGAGGAAGGGAGUAAAGUUAAUACCUUUGCUCAUUGACGUUACCCGCAGAAGAAGCACCGGCUAACUCCGUGCCAGCAGCCGCGGUAAUACGGAGGGUGCAAGCGUUAAUCGGAAUUACUGGGCGUAAAGCGCACGCAGGCGGUUUGUUAAGUCAGAUGUGAAAUCCCCGGGCUCAACCUGGGAACUGCAUCUGAUACUGGCAAGCUUGAGUCUCGUAGAGGGGGGGUAGAAUUCCAGGUGUAGCGGUGAAAUGCGUAGAGAUCUGGAGG
RNAcentral lists this ribosomal RNA (622 nucleotides) under Escherichia coli. RNAcentral's name for it is "bacterial SSU rRNA". It matches the Rfam family "Bacterial small subunit ribosomal RNA", at positions 87 to 704 of the family's 1533-position model. The record is from RNAcentral. Lineage: Bacteria; Pseudomonadati; Pseudomonadota; Gammaproteobacteria; Enterobacterales; Enterobacteriaceae.